RNAcentral lists this long non-coding RNA (363 nucleotides) under Carica papaya (papaya). RNAcentral describes it as "long non-coding RNA (CPAP_LNC013755)". Lineage: Eukaryota; Viridiplantae; Streptophyta; Magnoliopsida; Brassicales; Caricaceae. The record is from RNAcentral.
AAAUGGCGAAAUGGGGAAAAAAAUUCCCGCGAGAAAAAUCCUGUGAGAAGGCUGGUUUUCCGCACGGGUGUUGGGCACUGUGCAUGUGCACAUGCGCGCACAAUGGUCGUGGGAUGUGCGCACAGCACACGUGCCCUUUCAUGCGCACGGCACAGGGUCAGGACUUGUGCGAGCAUCCUGUCAUGCGCAGGCAAGCCAUCAAUGCGUAGGCCUUGUGCGUCUAGGGCCUACAUGCAGUAGGUCUGCGCGCGCGGCGCCUAGCACACCUUGGCCUUACGUGCGCGUAAGUUAGCCCCUGCGCGCACAGCAAGAAACCUGUACGCCUACAGGCUAGCCCGCAACGUGCCAACUGGAGAACUGCCA